RNAcentral lists this ribosomal RNA (746 nucleotides) under uncultured archaeon. Its description in RNAcentral is "bacterial SSU rRNA". It matches the Rfam family "Archaeal small subunit ribosomal RNA", at positions 70 to 814 of the family's 1478-position model. The record is from RNAcentral.
UCAGACUCGCGGCACCGAGCUCAGUAACACGUGGCCAAACUACCCUACAGAGACGGAUACCCUCGGGAAACUGAGGUUAACCCGUCAUACCGAUCUCAGGCUUGAAUCGCAGAGAUCACAAAACGCCCCGGCGCUGUAGGAUGUGGCUGCGGUUGAUUAGGUAGACGGUGGGGUAACGGCCCACCGUGCCCAUAAUCAGUACAGGUUGUGAGAGCAAGAACCUGGAGACGGAAUCUGAGACAAGAUUCCGGGCCCUACGGGGCGCAGCAGGCGCGAAACCUUUACACUGCACGCACGUGCGAUAAGGGGACUCCGAGUGCGAGGGCAUAUCGUCCUCGCUUUCGUGUACCGUAGGGUGGUACACCAACAAGGGCUGGGCAAGACCGGUGCCAGCCGCCGCGGUAAUACCGGCAGCCCGAGUGAUGGCCGAUCUUAUUGGGCCUAAAGCGUCCGUAGCUGGCUGCGCAAGUCCGUCGGGAAAUCCACUCGCCCAACGAGUGGGCGUCCGGCGGAAACUGCACAGCUUGGGACCGGAAGGCUCGAAGGGUACGUUCGGGGUAGGAGUGAAAUCCCAUAAUCCCGCACGGACCACCGAUGGCGAAAGCACUUCGAGAAAACGGAUCCGACAGUGAGGGACGAAAGCCAGGGUCUCCAACCGGAUUAGAUACCCGGGUAGUCCUGGCCGUAAACAAUGUUCGCUAGGUAUGACACAGACUACGCGUCUCUGUUGUGCCGUAGGGAAGCCG